GGGAAUGUGAAAGUAAAGUAAAAAAACCUCCAAAAAUAUUUUUUCAAUGUAAAAUCCCUCCAGAAAUUUAGUUUUCACCCUAAAAUCUCUCCCAAAAAAUUAAUUUCACGCUACAAUCCCUAAUCAAGCGGCGACUUCAACUCUCUUCAAAUUUCAGUCCCUAAUCAAGCGCGACUUCAUCUCUUCAAAGUUCAGAAGGUUGCAAACUUCAUCAUUCAGAACUCGAAGGUUGCAAAAUUCAUCACUUCAAACUCAGAAGAUUGCAAAAUUCAUCACUUCAAAAUAAGAAGGUUGGUGUCUCUACCAUUGGAUUAUCUGCCUAAUCAAGAGAAAGAUUAAUUUCUUCCUCUUUUAUCUGUUUUAGUUCCUUUUUUCUUCUUUUUGUUUUUUUUUCAAUUAAACCAGAAAUCAAAAAUCGGGUUCUGUAAUUUUCUAUUUUUUUUGUUGUUUUCUGCAAUUGGGUUGUUUAGAAUAGUGAUAGUUGUUGUGUGAGUGAUAAAAGUGAGAAUAUCGGUUUAAAUAUGGGGCUUGUAGGUCAAGGAGGAGAAAUUUUAGUUUUUUCAUGUAGAGUUUCGUCUCUGCGAUGGUUUUCUUCUUUGCAAUUUGUGUUACAAUUCUUCUGGGGACUUGUUUGAAGGGUCAUGAGUUUGGCGCUAUAGUAGUAAUGUCACCACUGAUAGAAACAAUUGCUUCAGGCAUUACAGCAUGCGCCACUCGAUCGACAACAGCUCGAUCACUGUUACCUUCUUGAGCCACUAGUGUAACUCCUUGUUGCUUACUAGCAUUGUUUGCUCGAUUCAAAUCACCUGAAGUUACCUUAUCAUCAACUCCUUUUUGUCUAUCAUUAGUCACCGACAAAUCCCCUGUAAUCUCCUCGAUCCUAAUAGCAAUUUGUUGACCUUCAGCGAAGUGAAAAGUCAAUAGUUUCUAUUUCCUAAAACAAACUUGUGUUGAUUACAAGAGAAAAGACACCUUUUUCUUCAGAGGUUUUUUUCUAGAUGUCCAAACAAUAUCUUUUAAUCCCGAAAAGAUGUUCUUGUAGAACUACCAUUUUUAAGGUCCAAGAAUCUGCCAUUUCUUUCGGUACCAAACGGUUUUAGCAAAUAUCUGAAAAUCUUAUGCAGGAACAUGUGUACCUUUUAAUAAUGAAUAUAAUUUGGAGUAAGGAUAUGUGUAUUAGUAAUACGUGUAUAUAACUACUUAAUUUUGAAAGUGCAUUCUUUUUACAACAUUCAUAACAUUCUUUUGUUACUUUAAUUAGUUAAAACCUUUUUUUAUUUCCUAUUUAAGGUUAUGUCAACAAGUAAGCAAUGGAUGCAACUUGUUGAUAACCGAUUUGACGAUACCUAUUUAAUUGGAGUGCAAAAGUUUUUGGAUUAUGCCUUUAGAAGAACAGGAGAAUUGUCUGAAAUACGUUGUCCGUGCGUCAAAUGUUGUAGCACAAAAUUAGGAACACGUGAGACAGUCGAGAUACAUUUGAAAGUAUAUGGAAUAAUUCGAAAUUAUACCUUUUGGUAUCAUCAUGGUGAAGUUUUGGGUGAGACACAGUCGGAAGGCGAAGUUGAUGAUGAUAAUGAAGUAGAAGAUUAUGAGGAUGAGGAUGAAAUACAUGAAAUGCUGAGGGAUUUAUAUCCUAAUAAUGAUGAAGGAACUCCGGACGUUCGUGAUAAUGAUUUACUCGGAGAUGAACCGAACGUUGAAACCAAAAAGGUUUACAGCUCAUUGAAAGAUUUCAAACAACCACUAUACCAAAAUUCGAAAUGUUCAAAGCUUUCCACUUUGAUUAAACUGCUUCAUAUAAAAGGUAUGGGUCGUUAGAGCAAUGAGUCAUUUAUAAUGUUAUUAAAAAUGUUGAAGGAUGAGUUAUUGCCUGAUGGAGCAAAUGUGCCAAAUUCAUAUUAUGAGGGAAAGAAGGUGAUUAGGUGUGAGCACGUAAUUUUUUCCCUAUGUGAAUAACUCCCAUAAAUUCAAGAAAAAUAAAUUUUUCCCAUUAUUGGCAAUUUCGUAGAUUUUUGUGGCAUUUUGUUAAUUGUUUGCAUUUCUUUGUGCAUGUUUAAUUUUGCUUAAUUCAUGAAAAUACAAAAAUACAUUACAUUUGCAUUUAAGAUUUAAUUUUAUAUUUUUAGGUUAAUUAGCAAUUUAGUGGUCUUAUAAAAAAUGAUUAAAAUCACCAAAAAUGACUCAUUUUGUAUUUUUAACUUUUUAACUUUAAAUUUUGAAUUUUCAUUAAUUUAGGAUUUAUUUAAUUAUUGAAAAUAUUGUGUUGAGUGAUUAGUUUAAUUUGGUAAGUCAUUUUAGUUUAAGAGUUAAUUUAAGUGUUAAAUUAAUUUGGUUGAAAGAAAAGAAUUUUAAUAAUAAAAGAGUUGGAAAAUUGACUUGUCUUGCGAAAAUUGGGACAAGAUCAUUGUUACAGCCCAUACAAUACCCAUUAAACCCGUCCGAGCCACGCCUAUCCCCGGCCCAAAGCUUUCAGCCCCAGGAACCUACAAACGAUGUAGUGUGGGAAUAGAACUGCGUCUCUUUGAGUUCAAUAAGCUUUAACAAAUCCUGGCCUUUCAUCUCGUUUCAUCCAACGGCCUAAAAUACUUCUCCAUUUUUGCUUAAGACUGUCCAAAUUCCCCAGAGACAAGUCAGUUCCCAAAUACCCCUUCCACUUCAUCUCCCCAUCUCUAAACCUAGACCUGCCUCCAUGAAUGUCUUCUCCAUCUCCGGCCAGCGGCGGAGCUCAAACCACCACCAAAAUCCAACCACACAACCACCGUUCAUCCCUGAGUCCCAAUCCACAACCUCUUCUCCCCAGGUCCUCACCAAAUCGGGUCAGUUUCAGAUCUAAAACAAAGAAAAGGAGAUCUUUCAAGUCUUCAAGUUCUAUGAACGAUUAGGCCUGAAACUACUAUUGUUCGUUUGUUCUCAAAGAGAACAUGUGAUUGAUACCAAUUUUGGGUCAAAUCGGAAGUUGCCGGACAAGCUUUCAAUCCUGUUUGUCUCCAACCCUAGGUAUUCCUUGUCCAUGUUUUCCCAGCUUUUGUUUCUCCUCCAUAUUCAUUCUUUCUUUUUCUCUUUCUUUUCUCUUUAUUUCCAUCUUUAAUCAGUAAAUUUGUAUAAGCAGUCGCCAUGAGUUAAUCUUGGAUAAUUUUUGUUCGGUUUGUUUUCACUAGUUAGUAUUAAAAUUGAUUUAGUUCUUUUGGGGCCAUAAUUUGAAUGUUAAUUUAUUUGGGUCAGAUUUUUGAGUUUUAGAAUACUCAUGGGCUGGGUGGAGUCUUGGGCCUUUGGUUUAUUUUUGACCCGUCCCAACAACAACCCUAGUUUGUUUGGGUCGGCCUGACCCAUAGUUGGUUUAGGUUGGGAGGGUAAAUAACAAAAAUUUAAAGGGUAGUUUAGGGAAGUUGGCCAAUGGAAUCUUACUAUAACUGAUUGAGAAUCUUCUAGGAAAGUGGGCGAAUGGAUUGGUUUGCAAAGCAAAUUUUAAAUUGCGGUCUGAAGUGAAUAGAGGGAAUUUGGGGAAGGGGUAAAUGCUAAGUUUGGAAACUAACCACUGCUGCCCUAAAACCCCUCUAUAAAGGUCCCAUUUCCUAAAUUUUCAAAGGGAGUUCAGACCCUAGAAAUUAGAAACGGAUGAAAAAUACAAACAUUGAAAAAGUUUGUAGAAUCAGAAAAAAAUACAAAUACAAAUCACAAAAUACUGUUACAUUGAAGCUUUUUGUGUAAUUCUUUGGGUUUUAAAGUUUGAAGUAAUCUUUGAUUCAUUUUGGGCUAAGAAUGGCUUGAAAGGACCGAAUCUCUUGGUUGUUCAGUUUGUGUUGGUGUUGCUGAUAUUCUGCUGAUGUUAACUCUUUGUUUUUAUUUGCAAUUAGGUAUUCUUCAAACUAUGCACAACAAGUGAAUGUGAACAUGUGUUGCGAGUUGAAACCUGAUUGAAUACAAAGUUGAAUUUGACUUCUAUUCCUUAUGUUUCUUCUAUUAUUCUAGUAUUCUGUAGUCAAUCUAAUACUAGACAUGUAUUUUGGCUUUCUCAUGUCCUUCAUAUGUUGUAAAAUGAAUCAAUUUAAGAGUUUGGGUGUGAUUUUGGAUUCAAGUGAUUGAUAUUUGAACAUCAUGGGUUCUGAUACUUGUGGUAUUGAGAAAAUAGCCUAGUUUAGAUUAGAUUUCAUAGUGUAUUUGUGAGUUGUCUUGAAAUUGAAUUCCUGCUGUGUAUUGUUGAAUGUCUAUCGGGCUCGAUAUUGAGUGUUGUUCCUCAGCCUUAGCUUUGCAAGGUUUAGGCUCUUUGGGCCUGGACUUAAGGAUGUUUACAAAGUGGGGAGUUACCUUACCAUGUGUUGUUUAGGCCUGCUUCUCCAAUCCAAUAGCUCACAUGAUCGCUACUGCAGGGCUUGGCUCUGUUAUGGGUUUGGCCGGAGGCCUCAUGGCUUUCAGUUGUGCUAAUUGGACUUUAUACUUAAAACCAUGGUUGUUUAAUGUCAAUCUCGCCAUGUUUUGUUGAUGUGGUGUGUUAAAAUGUUUAAUUGAGGUCUUGAUUUUCUUAUCAUUGUUCUUAAGAUUAGUUUGGGAUUGAAGUUAAACUGAACGUUGUAUGGUUUUGUGUUUGUAUGUCAUUAAUACCCUUGAAUUCAAACAAUUUUUUUUAAAAAACAAUGUAAUCUAGUAUGGUGAUACUCAUAGCCCUUUUAGCCUGUUAUUGCAUACUAAUGAAUGUAGAUAAGCUUGGUGUUACACCCCAAGUUUUCAUACGUGAGAGUACGUCGUAAGUCAUUGAUGUAAGCUCGGAAAUGAGAUUAUAUUUGGAAGAAAAUAAAGUAAGUUAAUCAUGUUACCUUGGAGGUUACAAAUAUUUAAGAUCAUGAAUAACGAGUACCAAGAGGGUUGGAAAUCUUAGAAGCUAAACCAAUUGAAGAAAAUAAGUUUCGUCAAAAGUCGACAAGUUUAGAAUAUUAUAACAUAUACUUUGGGGUGAAACUAUGGUUAUUAACAUGAUAAGGAGGUUAUUCUAUAAUUUAUUUUAGUCGUAUGAUAAUCAUUUUCUACAUUUUGAAGGCAAGCAAGUUGUGGAACAAGAGUUGGCAAAGGUCAUCACAAGUUACAUUCAUAAAUUUGCUGAAAUUUAGGUCAAAUGUAUCUAAGAAUUUAACCAAAUAUACUUGGAAUCAUAGGGUGUUCUACCAACCAAAUUGAAGAUCUACGAGUCUAGUUUUUAAUUCAUUAAACCGUUCGUCAAUACGACAUCGGAGUAGAGAGAUAUUCGUGUUUUCGCGAGACCGCGCAUGCAGCUCCCAAUGGGACCCACUUAGGCGGUGGUUGACCUACUUCAAUUUAUAAAUGAUUUGGACGCCUAUUUUUGCUCGUUUUUCAACUAAUAUUCGUCUCCAACUUCUCCUAACCCUCCUAAACAUAUACCACAAGGGUUUUAAGUGAUUCCAAAGCGAUUACACCAUAUUUCAACAUCAAAACUUAGUUCUAGUGAAGAACAACACCUAAUUGUGCUUAAGCUUUCUUGUAUGUUGGUUAAGUUGUUAGGAUGAUAAACUACAAGAUAAUACCUGGAUUAGCUUANNNNNNNNNNNNNCUGGAAUCAUUGAUUAAUGACUUCAUUAUCAAGUUAAUGAUACUGUUAUGUUGAAGUAAGAAGUCUAUAAGGAUUGAUAAGGGGUAUACGGAUUCCAAUCGGACCUUCCCGCUCGUCGUAAUGUAGUUGUGACUUGUUGUUGUUAUAUGGUGUCUUGAUAUUGAUAAUUAUGUAUUGAUGGAUUGCUCUGGUCAUUGUUGUAUGUAUAUGGUAUUGGAGGAGACCCUUGUUACAAGGGAGAUGCUGCCAAAAUUUACGUAAACGAGCUACUAGCUUAAGUUAUAGACUUAGCCUUUGCUAAGCACUGAUUUUGAAUCUCCUUAUAAUAUGAUAGAUUGAGUUGACUUGUUUGAAGAGUUGCUUGGAAGUGAUUAAGGACUCAAUGGGUUUAAGGUAUGUUAAUGCACUUUCUUCUUUCUUUUGACAUGAUCUAAAGUGAAAUGAAUACUCUACUUCAUAACGGAUCUACUCCUAGCAACUAAGGUUGUCCAUGCUGUUCUUUCCUUAUAAAAUUAUUCUAAACAAGUGUGUAUGAUCCAUAAAUUCUACUAAGGUUCAUAUUGAUGGUAGGGAUGUCCAUAAUGUUCUUAAGUCACUCCAAAAGGUUUAGAAUGUGAUUCCAUGAGUUGAGCAUGCACUAUGUAUAUGUAUCUAUUUUACUCUACCGAGUCGCGCUAUAGUCGGCCGGGUACGGCAGAUAUUGUGUAACCACUGAUCAGUUGGGUUUACCGAGCUCCACGUGGCCGGGUACGAUUCUACUGAACCUUAUGAUGGUCGGGUAUGCUUUUACCGAGUCCUCUUUGAGGCCGGGUACGAUAUGAUGAUGAUGAUGCCCACAGAGGCGAAUGUUUUUAAAAAGUUUAUGUAUAUAUAUGUAUUAUGCAUUUCAUAUCAUAGCCCCUAGAGGCACUCAGAUGUUACAGGUUGUAUCUCUUCUAUCUCUCUCUUUACAUUACUAUUCUUGUUUAUGCUUUCCUGCCUAACAUACUCGGUACUUUAUUCGUACUGACGUCCCUUUUGCCUGGAGACGCUGCGUUUCAUUCCUGCAGGUCCCGAUUGAUAGGUUGACAGUCCUCCUAGUAGGGUAUCAGUCAGCGAAGGUGUUGGUGCACUCCACUUGCUCCAGAGUUGCCUAUUUGGUCAGUAUGCUUUGGAUAUGUAUUGAUUGGUAUGGUGGGGCCCUGUCCCGACCUUUAUGAUUUUAUGUACUCUUAGAGGCUUGUAGACAGAUGUCAGGUGUAUGGAUAAUCAUAUGGCCUUGUCGGCCUAUGUUUCGAGUUUACUAAUGGUCAUGUCGGCCUUAUAGGCCCGUAUGUCACAUAUAUUAUUUUGUAUAUCAUGUUGGGUCUUCAUAUGUUGAGUGUUCCCUUAUGUUUUAUUCUUGUUAUCUCAUGACGGGUUUUCUGGCUC
RNAcentral lists this long non-coding RNA (6970 nucleotides) under Nicotiana tabacum (common tobacco). Its description in RNAcentral is "long non-coding RNA (NTAB_LNC014079)". The record is from RNAcentral. Lineage: Eukaryota; Viridiplantae; Streptophyta; Magnoliopsida; Solanales; Solanaceae.